RNAcentral lists this unclassified non-coding RNA (166 nucleotides) under Venturia nashicola. RNAcentral describes it as "ITS1". The record is from RNAcentral. Lineage: Eukaryota; Fungi; Ascomycota; Dothideomycetes; Venturiales; Venturiaceae.
ACUGGGUUAGCCUCCGGGCGCAACUCCACCCUUUGUAACCGCGGCCCGGAUUCGGCGCCUGGCGGAGGGCACCCCCCGCUCGCGGGGGCCUCCGCCUGCCGGAAUCAGCCAACCMUGCCUGGAAAAUCGAAGUCUGAGAACGAGUUAAAUCGAACAAAACUUUCAA